GCGCGCCGCUUUAGGAGCGAGGCCGUGGCGCGGAGGACUCGCCUGGAGCUGUGCAGUUGGAGCGAGUCAGGUCCCACCCGCCAUGUCGGAGGGCGCGGAGAGGUCCGCGGGGGCCCACAGCUCCUCUGAGUCCUCCGCCCAGGGUUUCGCUGCUGCCGAGCCGCGGAUCAUCAAAAUCACGGUGAAGACUCCCAAGGAGAAGGAAGAGUUCGCUGUGCCCGAGACCAGCAGCGUCCAGCAGCUGGACUGAGGCCCCUGGACAGGACGAGUUUGACCUUGAGAAGAUUCCAGUCUACCCUUGAGAGAACAAACAGGAACAAGAACAACUGCAAGAUAAACAAGUUUUGAGGAAGUGUCGACUGCAAGACAAGGCGUAUGUGUCCUUUUGGCAGAAGAGCUGAGUUGUGAUGAACUGUGCAAAUGUUAACCAAUGGUAAGACAGCAUAAGAACUUUGAACCAAUAAGAAAGAGACACAUCUGGGGAAGCUAAGGGGAAAGAGAGUAUAAAUGAACAAAGAGAGCAAUAAAGGGUUUUUUUGCACUAGCUUGCUUAUAUAAAGUUUUGUUGUCUUGUCAUUUUGUCCGUCUCGACCGCAACAAUUGGUGACCCCGACGUGAUAUUGAUCAACGGAACACUGAGAAAGUUUGACUGCUGGAUGGGCAGUGGAGACGGAGGCCGGUGAAGCUGAGAGCGGCGGUGGAGCUGCUAAGUCCGCGGACCGAUAAUUGACACCUAACGUACCAGCGGAAAAGACACCCCCCCAAAAUUGGCUGGCGCUACGGAACCGCGGAAAUAUAUGUGGCCCCAUGAGACUGUAAAGCCUCGACAAUAUUUAUGUCCUCGGGAUACGGGUAACAGAUGAUUCACCGCAGCCGCCAAUGCUGCGGCAUUUUGGAUCCCUGACACCUACCUCUAGGGUAACACCAGGGGUCAAGGUGCAAGUAAAGGACCUGGUUACAGGUCAGUGGUCCUCUCCAUGUGAACUGUUGACAUGGGGAAGAGGAUAUGCUUGUGUUUCCACAGAUGGCGGUCCUCGGUGGAUUCCGGCUCACUGUGUUUGGCCUGUGGUGGAUGGUGUGUGCCAGUGAUGGAUGGAUAGUUUCGCAGCCAAAGCAGAACGUGUGGAUCACCCUAGCCAACAGGACAGGACAGGAUUCUAUUUGUUUAUCUACUGCCUCGCCUGGUAAUCCGUUCUCAACAUGUUUGGUGGGUCAACCCUUGGACAGUUGGCCUGUACCUGCAGAUCAACAGUGGGUGGCCAAUGGUUCAGGAUUGGUUGAUAACUGGGAUGGAUGGGUUCCAUAUUUAAGCCAAGGUGACCUCAAACCACAGGAGUUGGAGCUGUUGGGAUCUGUAAAAAUGGAUUAUUGCGUAUAUUUUAAUUAUUCAGGGAAAAAUCAAACAAUGAGACAAUGUGUAAAUUCUAGUUUGAUUGCGUAUAGAAACGAUAGUUUUUGGUGUAAUUAUACAUCAAAGAAUGCUUCACGAUCUAGCAACCGUCCACUUAGCCUGCCCCCCGGAGUGUUUUUGAUUUGUGGAGAUAGAGCGUGGCCUGGUAUCCUCUCACAUCUCAAAGGAGGACCUUGUAGCUUGGGCCACUUAACAUUAUUGACACCCAAUGAUACUGUGAUCCACAGUGCUUUUCGCAGAUGACCACGCAAUAGGUGAACCGUUCAUGCCUAUACAAAUCAAUGUAGGGAUGACUUGAAUUUUUGGGGCCCUGGCGAAACCAUAGCCGCAUCUAUCUUUGCUCCUGGGGUGGCAGCCGCUCAGGCGCUAACUACUCUUAACAAACUGGGGUGUUGGUUAGCAAAACACAGCAAUGUGACCUCAAUGGCUUUAAGUGGACUGUUAUUAGACGUAGAUUCAGUUAGACAUGCUACAUUGCAAAAUAGAGCUGCUAUAGAUUUUUUAUUGUUAGCACAAGGGCAUGGGUGUGAAGAUUUUGAAGGGAUGUGUUGUAUGAAUUUGUCAGACCACUCAGAGUCAAUUUAUAAGAGAAUUCAGAUGUUGAAGGAAGGAGUGAAGAAACUUCAGGUUGAUGAUGGGUGGAGUUGGUUAAAUAACCUUUUUAAUGGCUGGGGAUUGUCUGGUUGGGUCUUAUCACUGAUUAAGACUGGGUUUUUGAUAUUGAUUGUUGUUGUAGUUGUGUUAUUGAUGUUGCCAUGUUUAAUGUCCCUGAUGCAAAGGGCCCUGCAGAAGGUGACACAGGCAAUUUUUGUAGCAC
RNA transcript from Aquila chrysaetos chrysaetos, 2228 nucleotides. It is a transcript of the gene named ubiquilin-1-like, with no coding region annotated. The record is from RefSeq and is a predicted model, not a curated record. NCBI's taxonomy places the organism in Eukaryota, Metazoa, Chordata, Aves, Accipitriformes, Accipitridae. The transcript is spliced from 4 exons.